AUGCAUAUCAAAAAUCUACUCCUUCAUUUUGCUGCCUUCAUUGGUCUGAAAGUUAACUACAGCAAGUCAAUCAUGAUUCCCAUCAACACUUCUGAUGAACAGAUGCAGUUUUUGUCUUCUAUCUUUGAAUGUCAGAUUGGUAAACUUCCUCAUACUUAUUUGGGUUUACCCCUCAGCAUACACAAACCUAGAGUGGAGAAUUACUUACCUCUUCUGAAGAGAGUUGAAAACAGAGUGCUUGGUUGUUCAACUCCGCUUUCUAUGGGAGACAAAUUAACUCUCAUUAAGUCAGUUUUCUCUAGCUUGCCAAUUUUCUUCACGUGCACUCUCAGUUUACCUAAAACAGUGGUUAAGCAAUUAAACAUUUAUCUCAAGAACUGCUUCUAG
Molecule: ribosomal RNA, 387 nt
Filed under: Triticum aestivum (bread wheat)
Lineage: Eukaryota; Viridiplantae; Streptophyta; Magnoliopsida; Poales; Poaceae
Description: partial small subunit ribosomal RNA
Source: RNAcentral